UAUCUUCCUCGAGGGUACGUUAGAGUGCAGGAUUUCAAGUGAAGAUAAUAAAAUACUGUAGUGAUACAAGUGAUGUUGUUGUUCAAUCUAAAAGACAUGACAAACAGAUAUGUAGUACGUACCUGCGUAAUUACUUUCCCCAAAGGUAGCGGCAUAUCCCCACCAACUAUCCCGAAGACAUUCGUUCGUUUACGGCUUGAAGGAGAUUUUGAGAUCACUUUCUUCACUAACUCUUCUGUGGGUUGUACUUAUUGACAUGGAUAUGGAACCAUUUCAUUGCUACGAGUACUCAUUUUAGCAAGGAAACAAGGGCCACCUACCACCAUGAGUUUACUUUCAGUUUCACCAACUACAAGUCAUGAACUACUUGCUACAUUCGUGCAUGCAAAUCGGAAAUUGGAGCGGCGGACUUGCCUGCUACUUGAUCACAUUUUUUCUUUUAGAAAUGUUAGUGAAAGAACGAUGAGAUUUAAAAAGUGAACAGAAAAAAAAAAAAAAAAAAAAAAGAGAAGCUAAACCUAGGAUUUUGGAUUUCUGGCGUUUCAAUCUUAAUCAUUAGAAUAACAUCUCCU
RNAcentral lists this long non-coding RNA (572 nucleotides) under Coffea arabica (coffee). Its description in RNAcentral is "long non-coding RNA (CARA_LNC003960)". The record is from RNAcentral. Lineage: Eukaryota; Viridiplantae; Streptophyta; Magnoliopsida; Gentianales; Rubiaceae.